ACAAUAACUAAAGCAUAGAAGGAAGGCUAAAAUAAGAAUUCAGAAACUAUAAACCGGCUCUCUUCUAGCUUACGACACAAACUAUGAGUGAGAAAAGGACAAAUGAUUCGCUCUUUGCUUCAUUUUUUCCGAGGUUGUCACAACAUGAAAUGUCAUUUGGACCUAUUGGACUCAUUUUAACUCGGCCAAAUACAUAGUAACAUACAUAAGAAGAUUUUACUUAUAUUUACCGAACUAUUUGACACGGUCGCGUCAACUGUGUUUACGAGUGUCUUGUGUUCAGAUUGUUUUAAGUGAUAAUUUAACAAUAUUUUUCCAAAUAAAUGGAAAGAAACUUUUAUUUAUAUCAAAUAAUUGAGUGUCUCGACUGUGUGACAUUAUGUCUUGUGUGGUAUGGGGCUGCAGCUCACAUUCAGGAAGAAAAGAAAAUAGCCAACAACUUCUGUCGUUUCAUCGAUAUUAAAUCCAAAAGUGUCGACUGGAUUUACAUGAAAAGUCAGUUCAAGAAGACGAGAUGAAAAAUUUAAAAGAAAAGCUGAACAAGUCCCGCCUCAAGAUCAAACGACUUAAUGAAAAAAAAAACAAUGUGACAGGGUGUCACAAAGACAGUUUCUAAGCAAAUUGACACUGUUUAGAAAUUAAUAAAUUUGUAUUUAUUGUAAAUAUAAUGUACAUAAUUAAUAACGUGUGAAAUAAAUACUUGCUAAUGAAAAUGAACAGAUUUACGAUCUAAUUUAUAUUUCAUUUUACCUCCUGUUCUUAUUUACUCCUACUCCAACACUCCAGGUUGAUACGAACUGCGCCCAAUAAAGAAUGUAAUGAAUGUUAUAGAUUUGUGUAAGCGACUUAGAUAAAUCUUGACUAAACCUUCCUUUACAAAUACAAAUAUACUUUAUUGCACACAACAUACAAUACUUACAAGUUUUACACGAAAGAUACAGUACACCACCUACCUACCUUUUACUUUCCCUUUCUGUUCUCUUAUGAAUACUUGUAUGCCGUAUUUUUUUAAGUAUAAUGCUAUAUCUAGUAGGUACGAGUAUGGUAAUCCUAUUAUUGAAACAGCUUGUAGCCCUAGUAAAGACCGCCAUUUUAUGUUUACAGAGUGGCACGUUUUUUCUGUAGGUAUUUCCAGUCCAUACUCUUUUCUAUGUCUAUGGCGUGACCCCAUCGGGCCUCUUACCGUCUGUGCGGCUUAGACCCGGCGGCGGCGGUUCCAAUUUGCACGGCACGUCGAUCGACACCAGUGCACGGCGGAUGACAUCAUAAAUAAAUUCGAAUAUUACAAAAUACUUACCGAUGAAACGAUAACAGUUGGCUAUUUUCUUUCCUUCCUGAAUGUGAGCUGCAGCUCCAAACUAAUAUAAACCAGACAAUAUAAUCCAAAAAUGGUUAGAUACUUACCUAUCAGAGACAGAGUCUCCUUUCAUCAAGAAGAUAAUUGCAUCCUACAAAAAGAAAUCUUGUAAAAAAAAUUUAUCGACAUUAAUUGUAAGUAAAUUUAAUUUUAUCGACAUAUUACUAAAGUGAAACCCAACACUAGGCAAUGAAAAACUUGUGACAACCUACGAAAUUACGAAACAAUUUUUGUAUAUGCGUCUUUGUCUAACAUUACGCCGGUUCCGUAAGAUAAAGUAGAGCAGAAUUAUAGAGUUCUGUUGCUAUUUUAGCCUUCCUUCUAUGCUUUAGUUAUUGU
This 1696-nucleotide long non-coding RNA is filed under the name Pectinophora gossypiella (pink bollworm). RNAcentral's name for it is "uncharacterized LOC126374539". Lineage: Eukaryota; Metazoa; Arthropoda; Insecta; Lepidoptera; Gelechiidae. The record is from RNAcentral.